RNAcentral lists this ribosomal RNA (429 nucleotides) under Bacillota bacterium. RNAcentral's name for it is "Firmicutes bacterium partial 16S ribosomal RNA". It matches the Rfam family "Bacterial small subunit ribosomal RNA", at positions 355 to 776 of the family's 1533-position model. The record is from RNAcentral. Lineage: Bacteria; Bacillati; Bacillota.
UGGGGAAUUUUGGACAAUGGGCGAAAGCCUGAUCCAGCAAUGCCGCGUGUGUGAAGAAAGCCUUCGGGUUGUAAAGCACUUUUGUCCGGAAAGAAAACGCCGUGGUUAAUACCCGUGGCGGAUGACGGUACCGGAAGAAUAAGCACCGGCUAACUACGUGCCAGCAGCCGCGGUAAUACGUAGGGUGCAAGCGUUAAUCGGAAUUACUGGGCGUAAAGCGUGCGCAGGCGGUCCGCUAAGACAGAUGUGAAAUCCCCGGGCUUAACCUGGGAACUGCAUUUGUGACUGGCGGGCUAGAGUAUGGCAGAGGGGGGUAGAAUUCCACGUGUAGCAGUGAAAUGCGUAGAGAUGUGGAGGAAUACCGAUGGCGAAGGCAGCCCCCUGGGCCAAUACUGACGCUCAUGCACGAAAGCGUGGGGAGCAAACAGG